UUCUGUAAGCCUGUGAAGGUGGCUUGUAAAGGCUGCUGGAGGUAUCAGAAGUGCGAAUGCUGACAUGAGUAGCGUUAAAGCGGGUGAAAAGCCCGCUCGCCGUAAGCGCAAGGUUUUCUACGCAACGUUCAUCGGCGUAGAGUGAGUCGGCCCCUAAGGUGAGGCAGAGAUGCGUAGCUGAUGGGAAACAGGUCAAUAUUCCUGUACCGAUGUGUAGUGCGAUGUGGGGACGGAUCUUAAUAGGUCAUCCGGGUGUUGGAUAUCCCGGUUUAGGCAGAUGUAGGCGUCUGGUAGGCAAAUCCGCCAGGCAUAUACCGAGGCUGUCGAUCGAGCGAGCUUGCUCGCGAAGUGAUUGAACGAGGUUCCAGGAAAAGCCACUAAGCUUCAGCUGCACACGACCGUACCGCAAACCGACACUGGUGCGCGAGAUGAGUAUUCUAAGGCGCUUGAGAGAACUCGGGAGAAGGAACUCGGCAAAUUGACACCGUAACUUCGGAAGAAGGUGUGCCCUAGUAGUGUGAAGUGAACAACGGAGCAUGAAUGGGUUGCAAAAAAUCGGUGGCUGCGACUGUUUAUUAAAAACACAGCACUCUGCAAACACGAAAGUGGACGUAUAGGGUGUGACGCCUGCCCGGUGCUGGAAGAUUAAAUGAUGGGGUGCAAGCUCUUGAUUGAAGUCCCAGUAAACGGCGGCCGUAACUAUAACGGUCCUAAGGUAGCGAAAUUCCUUGUCGGGUAAGUUCCGACCUGCACGAAUGGCGUAACGAUGGCCACACUGUCUCCUCCCGAGACUCAGCGAAGUUGAAAUGUUUGUGAUGAUGCAAUCUCCCCGCGGAAAGACGGAAAGACCCCAUGAACCUUUACUGUAGCUUUGUAUUGGACUUUGAACAGAUCUGUGUAGGAUAGGUGGGAGGCUUUGAAGUGCGGUCGCUAGAUCGCAUGGAGCCAACGUUGAAAUACCACCCUGGUGUGUUUGAGGUUCUAACCUAGGUCCAUCAUCUGGAUCGGGGACAGUGCAUGGUAGGCAGUUUGACUGGGGCGGUCUCCUCCCAAAGCGUAACGGAGGAGUUCGAAGGUACGCUAGUUACGGUCGGACAUCGUGACGAUAGUGCAAUGGCAUAAGCGUGCUUAACUGCGAGACUGACAAGUCGAGCAGAUGCGAAAGCAGGACAUAGUGAUCCGGUGGUUCUGUAUGGAAGGGCCAUCGCUCAACGGAUAAAAGGUACUCUGGGGAUAACAGGCUGAUACCGCCCAAGAGUUCAUAUCGACGGCGGUGUUUGGCACCUCGAUGUCGGCUCAUCUCAUCCUGGGGCUGUAGCCGGUCCCAAGGGUAUGGCUGUUCGCCAUUUAAAGAGGUACGUGAGCUGGGUUUAAAACGUCGUGAGACAGUUUGGUCCCUAUCUUCCGUGGGCGCUGCAGAUUUGAGGAAGCCUGCUCCUAGUACGAGAGGACCGGAGUGGACG
RNAcentral lists this ribosomal RNA (1463 nucleotides) under Pseudomonas aeruginosa. Its description in RNAcentral is "bacterial LSU rRNA". It matches the Rfam family "Bacterial large subunit ribosomal RNA", at positions 1239 to 2703 of the family's 2925-position model. Lineage: Bacteria; Pseudomonadati; Pseudomonadota; Gammaproteobacteria; Pseudomonadales; Pseudomonadaceae. The record is from RNAcentral.